RNAcentral lists this long non-coding RNA (1303 nucleotides) under Octopus vulgaris (common octopus). The record is from RNAcentral. Lineage: Eukaryota; Metazoa; Mollusca; Cephalopoda; Octopoda; Octopodidae.
AGAUGGAGACAGUAAGGAACCCAGUCAACAAAUGGAGCUUUUCCAUAAGGUAUAAUAUAUUUUAUCUCCUGCCUUUUAAUUUAGCAUCAUCAUCAUCAUCAUCAUUGUCACCGUCCUUUAACAUCCAUUUUCCAUGCUGCCAUGGAUUGGAUGGUUUGAUGGGAACUGGCAAGCUGGAGAGCUGCACCAGGCUCCAAUUGUCUGUUCGGCAUGGUUUCUAUGGCUGGAUGCCCCUCCUAAUGUCAACCAUUUAACAGUGUAUUGGGUGCUUUUUGUGUGGCAUCUACACAUAAAUUUUGCUAAUUGUAUCAAAAACAGAUAUUAGAAGAAAUAAAUUAUGUAGUUAAUGGUCAAGUUGUUAAAUGUUUAAUUGUAAAUCUAAUAGAUUUUGUGUCCAUUUGUUGGGUUUUUUUUAAUCCUGUCUCAGUAAUCUGUCAAGGCAAUUCAUGUCAGUGAAGCCAAUGUUGAUAUAAUAACAAUGAUUAUAUUGUAAUUAUCAAACAUAAACCUGAGUAUUAUGGAGACAUCUGAUGAUGAAGCUUUCUCUAAAAGUAAUAGCAUGAUAAUGACAGUGUAGUUGAAAAAUAAAACAAGGAUACAUAUUCCAUGUAUCCCAUACAAUGAUGAGAACAAUAAUCUAUACUGGCAAAAAGCUUCGUGUUUUUAGAGAAGGGAUAUUGUUCAUCGAAUUAACCUGAGCACAUGAUUGGUGCUUUCUCCCAGAAUUUGUGUUCUUGUUGUUUGUGGUGGAGGUGGUGGUGGUACUAGUAGUAGUAGUUUUUACUUUGGACACAAGACCAGCAAUUUUUGCAAGGAGGGUAUUAGUUGAUAACAUUGACUCUAGCCAGUACUUGACUGCUUACUCCAUUUAAAUGCUUUUAUUUAUUUGUAUUCAUGUUUCAUUUUGUAUAUUUCUGUAUCAGGUAACCAUUUUUGGAAAAUUAUGAUAAGAUCAAGCUGUAUGUAUAUGAUCUAGGAAUAUAAAACUGAUUUUAAUUUUUGAAUCUCUUACAGUUUCAUCAGAUCACUGCUCUCAUUCCAUCUGCAACUUGUCUAUUCACCUUCUUUUGGCAUAUUUCUAAUCGGCCGCCUGAGUAAUUACUGUACCAGCUAAGGGUCUGGUGUGUUUUAUGUACCGUAAGUUGACUGAGCCAGUCACAUAUGGCAACCAUUGUUGAUACGAUGCCAAUCACUUGGGAAUAUCAAAGUAAAAAACAUCAGUGUCUAUUUUACCAAACCUGUGCUCAUUCACAUUGUUGAUUAAGCAUUUUUUGUUUUAAUAAAAAAAUCAUUUAAAUAGAGA